This 283-nucleotide long non-coding RNA is filed under the name Elaeis guineensis (African oil palm). Its description in RNAcentral is "long non-coding RNA (EGUI_LNC026306)". Lineage: Eukaryota; Viridiplantae; Streptophyta; Magnoliopsida; Arecales; Arecaceae. The record is from RNAcentral.
UCUCAUCCCUAUUGAUCUUGAAAAGAUCCUGUUCGAUUUUAUCCGACCUCCUUACCUCUCACCUCACUACCACAUAGCCACUCCCUCUGCAACCUCUAUAGUCCUCAUCAUGGUUUCUAUGUUUUAUUUUUUUUCAAAAUAUCAUGAUACAACCAUUAAACUGAAGAGAGACACAUCAGUAGGUUUGCCAACAUAGACCACUUUCUCAUUAAAUGACCUUUUAAACCUAACCUAAAGAGAUAAUCAAAUCUAGCAUAUAUUUUUUUUAGUAUUGUAUAGGAUG